This 489-nucleotide ribosomal RNA is filed under the name uncultured bacterium. Its description in RNAcentral is "bacterial SSU rRNA". It matches the Rfam family "Bacterial small subunit ribosomal RNA", at positions 28 to 526 of the family's 1533-position model. The record is from RNAcentral.
GACGAACGCUGGCGGCGUGCUUAACACAUGCAAGUCGAACGAUGAUCUGCGGAGCUUGCUUCGCGGGGAUUAGUGGCGAACGGGUGAGUAACACGUGAGCAAUCUGCCCCUGACUCUGGGAUAAGCGCUGGAAACGGCGUCUAAUACCGGAUACGACCCCCGAGGGCAUCCUCUGGGGGUGGAAAGAAUUUCGGUUGGGGAUGAGCUCGCGGCCUAUCAGCUUGUUGGUGAGGUAAUGGCUCACCAAGGCGACGACGGGUAGCCGGCCUGAGAGGGUGACCGGCCACACUGGGACUGAGACACGGCCCAGACUCCUACGGGAGGCAGCAGUGGGGAAUAUUGCACAAUGGGCGAAAGCCUGAUGCAGCGACGCCGCGUGAGGGAUGACGGCCUUCGGGUUGUAAACCUCUUUCAGCAGGGAAGAAGCGAAAGUGACGGUACCUGCAGAAGAAGCACCGGCUAACUACGUGCCAGCCGCCGCUGUAACAC